AAGUCUAUCCCUUUAAUUGCACUUUCAUGUUUCAGCACUAGAGGGCACAUGUCGUUCACUCUACUGAUAACAUCCCCUUUAAGAUCAUGCACUUUAUACACCGCACGCGCUGGGUCACGAUGAGCAUGUAAACUUCAAAGCUGUGUGCGUUCGUGCAGAAAAACCACACACACACACCCAUAUACAAACAGCCAUGUACAUGUUAUUUAUGUGCCCAGCAUAUUAAAGUUUUGGAUAUAACUCUCCGAGCCCUUACUCUCUAACCGGAGUCACCAGUCUUUAAGGCCUAUCUGAACAAUCCAGAGUUCCAUCUCUACAAA
Molecule: non-coding RNA, 320 nt
Organism: Pimephales promelas (fathead minnow)
Lineage: Eukaryota; Metazoa; Chordata; Actinopteri; Cypriniformes; Leuciscidae
Source: RefSeq, a predicted model, not a curated record